UCACUCUUGUUUCUCUUCAGAUCGUAUAAAUCUUUCGCCUUUUACUAAAGAUUUCCGUGGAGAGGAACAAUAAGAGUAUAACUCAAUUUUUUGAUGCCCUGCUUUACUGCGGGGCU
Molecule: small nuclear RNA, 116 nt
Organism: Labrus bergylta (ballan wrasse)
Lineage: Eukaryota; Metazoa; Chordata; Actinopteri; Labriformes; Labridae
Gene: U5
Rfam family: U5 spliceosomal RNA
About the family: U5 RNA is a component of both types of known spliceosome.
Source: Ensembl